Centrocercus urophasianus (Greater sage-grouse) is the source of this 2057-nucleotide long non-coding RNA. RefSeq lists it as uncharacterized. The transcript has 5 exons. Lineage: Eukaryota; Metazoa; Chordata; Aves; Galliformes; Phasianidae. The record is from RefSeq and is a predicted model, not a curated record.
UCAGUGGAAGCUGAAAUGCAGAGGGGGUGGUAAGGAGAAGAGGAGCAGGCAGGCAGGCAGGCAGAGAUUUGGAAGUCUCCUCCCAGAAGGACUGUCCUCAAGACUGCAGUAUUUUCCAGUGCAAUGCUGUGACAGUUUUGAAGACAUACUUAGGCUUGGCAUCUGGUUCCUAUUACAGAUGACCCUGCAGACUUUUUCUGCUAGAAACCUUCCUAGCAAAUAUCCAACUGCCUUCUACAGUUCCACCUAAGAGAGAGAAGACAGCUUGAUUUCUGUAGCAGGGGAAAGUCCAGGUCCUACGAACCACCAUCAUGGUGACUCUUCCUCUCUUCCUCUUCUUCAUCCUCUUGCCAUGCAGUAAAUCCUGGGAGGAGUUUCUGGACCACAAUCUGAAAUGGGACUACAGAGAAGGCGCUGACAAAGUCAACAUAGGAGGCAUUAACAGCAUUACUCAAACACUUGAGAAAUGGGGAAACAGCAUCUUCUGGCAAAUGAAACACAUCCUGCUGAACAACCCAGAGUCUUUGCUGCCGGAGAUCUCCAGUCUCCGCCCUGUUUCUGCAGCUGUGGAGAAUCUUGUGAGGGAAGUCCAGGCAAUACGGAAAAGGCUAGAAGAAUUGAAUGAAAGGCUCAAUGUCAUCAACAAAGCUGUCCUUCCCUUCCGAAUUAACGCUCUGCAGAGCCAGAGGCGUGGAAAUACUCAGCUGCGGAGACUCCCAAUGCAUAGGAGAAGGUUACCUGCGCGCAGGAGACUUCAGAGGAAUUAACUCUCUACCAGCAAAAAAAGGAAAGCCUUUGUUUUUUGCACCUGCUUAAGCCUUUCUCAUUGGGACACUGUUAAACAGAAUAAACUAAAGCACAUACAAGAUGACUUUACCGAGGAGACCAGAACUUCUGCAUGUUGUUGUUCUAUUUCAAGCCUAGGUCAGUAAGUCAAAUCUGGACCUGUUCUUCAGCGAUGGUUGUUUUGUGCCCUAUGCAAAAUAAGUUGAGAAACUUGGUCUACUUCAGUGUGAAUACCUUUAGGUUAUGCUGUCGUUCCUUCUGCUUACCAGGGUAAGCUCUUUUUUAAAAAGUUCAGCUGAAUUUCUCUGUCCUAUUUUCACAGUACUCUGUCAGAAACAGCUGGGGAAUUCAAUCUUCAAAAGUGCUGAAUGCCGGAUGAAUGCAGGAAGAUAGAUUAGUGCUUUGCACUUCCAGCUGGGUAAGGAGGGGGAGAGAAAGUCAUGUUUUAAAAUAUAGCCUUAACCUAUUCUCCACCAAUGCAAAGAAUGCCCCAUUCACAUGUUCAGAGAGUGGGCAGAGUUGGAGAACCUUGAACUAUGCGUAUUGUUUCAGGAGUGAUGCUAUGUCAGAUUCUUGGGACCAAAGCUGAACACCUAUCUUCUUCAAUUAGCUUUCUUUUGGCUACCUGCAGGUAGGCACCAAAAACAUCAUGCAAUAGAUAUGCCCAUAACUUCCAACACUGUGAACGGCAUCACAGUGCCUUCUGCCAAGACCCUUUGAAAACAGGUGAUGUUUCUCCAAAACAAUUUUGGUACCUACUGGUAUAAGUAGAUGUCAACAAAGAUUUUCCAAAAUAGCUUUGGAAACAGCUUAGUCCCAGAAAUCACUGGUAAUUCAGUUGAUGUCUGGCUGGUAACUCAGCUGAUGUCUUAUUCACAGAGUAUCUUCCCCACAUGCAAACAUCAACUUCCAUAUCCUUCAGCACAAUUAAGAUCUGUAGAAAAAGAAGAACUACAUACUCCCAAAGCUCAGGUGUAUAUAGUAUACUUUGCUUUCAGCUCAUCUUUGCUUUCCUGGUAGUAAAACUGGUAACAAAAAACAAAACAAAACAAAACAAAAAAACGGUGCAGAAAUCAAGUUAUGAACUGAACAAAGGAAAGAGUGGGCUUACUUUUCAGAUCUCUAAAGAUCUCUAAAGGCAAAAUACAGAGAUUUCCAUCCAGCGCUGUAGCUAAUGGCAUGCCUGCAAUCUGUUUAAACAUAGGUAUAAAGGCCAGAGAGAAAAAUAAACUAUUUUUUAAGCACUUUAUGAGAAUAAAAAUAAGGAAUUG